This 119-nucleotide ribosomal RNA is filed under the name Vitis vinifera (wine grape). Lineage: Eukaryota; Viridiplantae; Streptophyta; Magnoliopsida; Vitales; Vitaceae. The record is from RNAcentral.
GGGUGCGUUCAUACAAACACUAAUGCACUGGAUCCCAUUAGAACUCCAUAGUGAAGCUUGCUUGCAUGAGAGUAGUACUAGGAUGGGUGACCUCUUGGGAAGUCCUCAUGUUACACCCC